This 468-nucleotide ribosomal RNA is filed under the name uncultured bacterium. Its description in RNAcentral is "partial 16S ribosomal RNA". It matches the Rfam family "Bacterial small subunit ribosomal RNA", at positions 28 to 507 of the family's 1533-position model. The record is from RNAcentral.
GACGAACGCUGGCGGCGUGCUUAACACAUGCAAGUCGAACGGGAAGGCCCUGCUUUUGUGGGGGGCUCGAGUGGCGAACGGGUGAGUAACACGUGAGUAGCCUGCCCUUGACUUUGGGAUAACUUCAGGAAACUGGGGCUAAUACCGGAUAGGAGCUCCUGCUGCAUGGUGGGGGUUGGAAAGUUUCGGCGGUUGGGGAUGGACUCGCGGCUUAUCAGCUUAUUGGUGGGGUAGUGGCUUACCAAGGCUUUGACGGGUAGCCGGCCUGACAAGGUGACCGGCCACAUUGGGACUACGAUACGGCCCCGAAUCCUACUGGAGGCAGCAGUGGGGAAUAUUGCACCAUGGGCGGAAGCCUCAUGCAGCAACGCCGCGUGCGGGAUGACGGCCUUCGGGUUGUAAACCGCUUCCGCCUGUGACGAAGAGUGAGUGACGGUAAUGGGUAAAGAAGCACCGGCUAACUACGUG